Panicum virgatum (switchgrass) is the source of this 496-nucleotide long non-coding RNA. RefSeq lists it as uncharacterized. The record is from RefSeq and is a predicted model, not a curated record. NCBI's taxonomy places the organism in Eukaryota, Viridiplantae, Streptophyta, Magnoliopsida, Poales, Poaceae. The transcript is spliced from 3 exons.
UUUGAGCAAACAAAACUGGUGAUUGUUCUGCCCAUUAUCAAGUACUAGGGGCAGGAAACUCAGAAGUCAUAUAUCAUAAAUACAAUACGUAGCCAGAGGAGACGACGAAUACGUCUGAGCUCAGCUGGUACUGAAGGCAGGAUACUCACAAGUCAUACAUCACAAGUAGGAAACCUACGUGAUAACGCUUGGUUCUUCUAAGCUAGAGGCUAUUUAUCUUCAGGGACUAAUCGACCACAUCGUUCUCCCAAUUCUCAUCUACCGAAGGCUGAAAGCUCAAAAGGCAUAAAUCAUAAUUACAGCACAAGAUCCUAUUCAAUUGCUUUGUGAGUUGAAGCUACGGUACUGAAUCCAGGAACUCAGAAGUCACACAUCACAAGUAGGAAAUAAACGUAAUUAGAGUUGAUUCGUCCGAGCUAGAGGCUAUGGUAUGUUCAUCUUGAGGAACUAAUCAGCCAUCUGUUCGAGAUCCUCAUCUGCUCCUUUGUGAAUCUGA